Long non-coding RNA from Monopterus albus (swamp eel), 182 nucleotides. RefSeq lists it as uncharacterized. The transcript has 2 exons. The record is from RefSeq and is a predicted model, not a curated record. Lineage: Eukaryota; Metazoa; Chordata; Actinopteri; Synbranchiformes; Synbranchidae.
ACCGUGUAAAGCUAGUGGAAAAAGAGAAGAAUGCUUUGGAGGGAGAAAAGAACAAAGCUGUGGAGUUCCUCACCCUGGAGAACGACAUCUUCAAACACAGGAAUCAGCUCUUCCAAUAUUAUAUUCAUGAUAUGCAGAAGCAUGUGGUGGAAAAAGAGCAGGAAAAGCAGAAGAUCUUGGAG